UUUGAGACUUUUUUUACUUAAUUUGGUGAAGAAACGGACAAAUCACCAUUGUUGGACCUCUUAAGGUCGGGAAUACAAUGUGGCUUUUUCUUGGUGUUCUUGCUAGCAAUUCUUGUCCAAUUUGUCACAAUAAUUACCAUAGUAUUGCAAGAAAUUAUUUGAUUGCUUGAAAAAUGUCGUGUAUGCUCAAUAUGAAAUUGUGCACUGUUUUAGUACUACUUACUCUGUUUUUUUGCGAAUAUAGUAUCAUGCGGCUAGGCGAACCUUAGAUACUAUAGAACCUUAAUUUAUGAUGAUUUUGCACAAUGUAGCAUGGCUAGACAACGAGGUUCGGGUUCAUGAUCCCGAGACACACGACGGGAGCAUGAGCCCGUAGAGGACGCCGAACCGUCCACUUCUCUUGGUCCCCUCUCUGAGUGAGAUGAGCGGACUCAUGUACUUCUCCCCCGUCCACCAUAUUUCUGAGAGGGUGCGACGUGAGAUCACAGUUGGUAGGACGCGCUACCAUGGCUCAGGCUGCGAUACCCUAGGCGACCUGUACAAGAUGCAUAUCAUUGUCGAUGGAGAGGUGAGACUUCUUUGGGAAUCUUGCGGGUUGACUGCACUGUUUGAGACCUCAGAGGCCAUGAUUACCUCUAGCGGGGGUCACCACGUGGCUCGUGCUCUGGUGUAGUUCUUUUGGGACACCACCAACACUUUCCACUUCCCUUGGGGUGAGAUGAUGGUCACCCCGACCGACUUAAGUCUCAUUACGAGACUGGAGUUUAGUUCUACUGUGCUGCCGUUUGACAACGAGAUUAGUAUCUUCUCUCCUGAGGUUGAGGAGCUGUUGGGAUUGAUUGCUGUUCAGGCUCGUGCUAAGGUAGAGUCGACUCAGUUUAGCGCUAAAGGCAUUCGCCGAUUGGCUCUGGCGGCAGCUUUCGAGGAUGAUGUGACCACCCGAAAGCAGCAGGUACGUAUCUUUGUGCUUAUCUUGUUGUCAGGGAUGUUUUCCCUUAACAAGGGUAGUAGAGUGCUGCUUUACUACCUACCUGCGGUCCAUGAUCUUCACUUGAUCGGGACUUAUGACUGGGCCAGCUUGGCCUAUGCUGACUUUGUUCGAGCGGUACGAGACUCGUGUCGACAUCGGUCCUUCACGGGGAACGUCGCUCUGUUCGCCUUCUGGAGAGUAGUAGAGAUCUGGUUCUACGAGUACUUUCCUUUAGUUGCACUGGCGAGACCGUCGCUGCGCAGGUUUCUAGUGAGUGCCUGUUGAUGAGGCCGCCGGGCUGAGAUGUCUACUGCUUAUGUCCAAGAUCAGAUCAUCUCGGAGCCUAACGUGUAGUACCGGCCAUGGAUCAACUUGGUUGUCCCUGGGUUAGCUGCGCAGUAUACCGCCGAGCGUCGCUACUUCAUAGGGACAUAUGGGGCGAUUGCAUAUCUUGGAGAGAGGGUUGCCAUUCAGCAUUCCUCAGACACUUUUGUCGUUCCUGCUUCUCCACCGUGUCAUAUGUUCAAUGGCGUGAGGCUGGUGAAUAUGUUAGAGAGAGAUGGUACCCCUUGGCAAUCUUAUACAAUCCCUGGGCGGUGCUAUGAGGUGGAGCUGCUGCUAAUGCCUCUGUUAGCUCCAACCCCUGUUCUAGUCGAGGAGGUGGCGGCAUGAUUUCCAUGUUUUACCUUUUGUUAAGUAGCACCCAAGUGAUAUCUUACUGACUUUGAUUUGCUUUCGUCAUGCGAGACCUACUGAGUUCGUGCCACCUCGUAUGUCCACCCAUUAUUAGGGGACAUACGGGCCGAUUGAGGAGAUGAUUCCUUUGGCUCCCGAGGAUGAGCACUUCGUGGAGCGGUAGAUUCCUCGUCACCAGACUCGGGUAAGCUUUAUUUAUUUUCAAUUUUGUUCAUGUAUGUUAUGCAUUGUUACUGACUAAAUUUCUUUGACUGUUAUCGCGCGAGUGAUCACGGCGAUGGCACGGUGUAUAGAUGCCUUCCGGAGCCAGCUCAUUCGGAUGAGGAAUGUGGCUUCGUGUCGUCGCGACGACGCCAUUCAGAAGGGUCAGCCCAUUCCUUCUCGUACCCGGACGAAACUUGAGGUGUGGAGAGACCCGGCGAGGUCUAGCUCGAGACGUUGCCGUACUGGCUCUGGCGGUUACGGUGGUCGUUCUGAGGCUGCUCGGACCGAGGCGGUGGAGGGCUCGGGCUCUUCAUCUGAGGGUGCACAUGUUGGGCUGGUAGGCCAGGGAGAGGCUACCACGGCUCUUAGAGGUAGUUGGAUAUACGAGGUCGGCUUGUCAUCGCAUAAGCCUCCGCAGCCACAGCCCCAGGGUGAUCUUGGAUGGCGGGUCCUGAGCUGAGUUUUCCACCUCCCGAUGAGACUGAAGCUAGAGCUGGUGGAGAGGUUACUCCUCGUACUACGUAGUUUUAUGAUUUGAUGGGUGUCUCUCAUCAUCUGCGUCCUUCGGCACCGUAGUUUUUAACUGUGCUUUUUUUAUUUUGACUUUGUUUAGAACUUUUCCUUUAUUAGACUCAUUUAUUAGACAUAUUUGUAUAUACAUACCACUAUUAAUUUAUUAAUUUAAACAUUUAUUUAUUAUAUUAUGUGCAUGUUUAUGUGUGCAAUGAAUUGUGAUAAUUAAUAGUUUUGCGCAAAAAAUUCGUCAUUUUUAUUAUUGAUGGAGGGCAUCCGACUUUCUCCC
Chenopodium quinoa (quinoa) is the source of this 2672-nucleotide long non-coding RNA. RefSeq lists it as uncharacterized. NCBI's taxonomy places the organism in Eukaryota, Viridiplantae, Streptophyta, Magnoliopsida, Caryophyllales, Amaranthaceae. The record is from RefSeq and is a predicted model, not a curated record. The transcript is spliced from 4 exons.